This 253-nucleotide ribosomal RNA is filed under the name uncultured bacterium. Its description in RNAcentral is "partial 16S ribosomal RNA". It matches the Rfam family "Bacterial small subunit ribosomal RNA", at positions 524 to 776 of the family's 1533-position model. The record is from RNAcentral.
UACGUAGGGGGCAAGCGUUGUCCGGAUUUAUUGGGCGUAAAGCGCGUGUAGGCGGCCAGAUAGGUCUGCUGUGAAAACUCGAGGCUCAACCUCGAGCUGUCGGCGGAAACCAUCUAGCUAGAGUCCGGAAGAGGAGAGUGGAAUUCCUGGUGUAGCGGUGAAAUGCGCAGAUAUCAGGAAGAACACCCGUGGCGAAGGCGGCUCUCUGGUACGUGACUGACGCUGAGACGCGAAAGCGUGGGGAGCGAACAGG